Molecule: small RNA, 788 nt
Filed under: Pan troglodytes (chimpanzee)
Lineage: Eukaryota; Metazoa; Chordata; Mammalia; Primates; Hominidae
Description: processed transcript
Source: RNAcentral
AAUAAUCAUCCUAAUCACCAUAACAGGGCUGUCUGGUUUAAAACAACACAAAAAAUGAGCUUCAGUCAGCCUACCCCCCAGGCUCGUCUUUCCCAGUAUUAUUGUGUAAGAAACAAGGAUAGAGUAAUGAUAAACCGCUUAGACAACAUCUGUGAAGCAGUGUUGAAAGGCAAAUGGCCAGUAAAUAGGCGCCAGAUGUUUGAUUUCCAAGGCCUCAUCCCAGGUUACACACCCACCACAGUGGACAGCCCCUUGCAGAAGAGGAGCUUUGCUGAGCUCUCCAUGGUCGGCCAAGCCAGCAUUAGUGGGAGUGAGGACAUCACUACGUCUCCUCAGUUGUCAAAGGAAGAUGCCCUCAACCUCUCUGUCCCUCGCCAGCGGAGGAGGAGGAGGAGAAAAAUCGAAAUUGAGGCCGAAAGAGCUGCCAAGAGGCGAAAUCUCAUGGAGAUGGUUGCCCAGCUUCGAGAGUCUCAGGUGGUCUCAGAAAAUGGACAAGAAAAAGUUGUAGAUUUAUCAAAGGCCUCAAGAGAGGCAACAAGCUCUACCUCAAAUUUUUCAUCUCUUUCUUCAAAGUUUAUCUUGCCUAAUGUCUCAACACCAGUGUCUGAUGCCUUUAAGACUCAAAUGGAACUGCUCCAAGCAGGCCUUUCGCGCACACCCACAAGGCAUCUCCUUAAUGGCUCCCUAGUGGAUGGAGAGCCUCCCAUGAAGAGGAGGCGGGGAAGGAGGAAAAAUGUGGAGGGACUUGAUCUGCUUUUCAUGAGCCACAAACGGACGUCAUUGAGUGC